UACGUAGGGGGCCAGCGUUGUCCGGAUUCAUUGGGCGUAAAGCGCGGGCAGGCGGCCCGUUAAGUCGGCCGUGAAAGCGCCGGGCUCAACUCGGCGAGGACGGGCGAGACUGACGGGCUCGAGGUUGGCAGAGGGCGGUGGAAUUCCGGGUGUAGUGGUGGAAUGCGUAGAGCUCCGGAGGAACACCAGUGGCGAAGGCGGCCGCCUGGGCCAAUACUGACGCUGAGCCGCGAAAGCGUGGGGAGCGAGCCGG
RNAcentral lists this ribosomal RNA (253 nucleotides) under uncultured bacterium. RNAcentral's name for it is "partial 16S ribosomal RNA". It matches the Rfam family "Bacterial small subunit ribosomal RNA", at positions 524 to 776 of the family's 1533-position model. The record is from RNAcentral.